This 345-nucleotide unclassified non-coding RNA is filed under the name soil metagenome. RNAcentral describes it as "partial contains 5.8S ribosomal RNA, internal transcribed spacer 2, and large subunit ribosomal RNA". The stretch from base 1 to 120 matches the Rfam family "5.8S ribosomal RNA", at positions 35 to 154 of the family's 154-position model. The record is from RNAcentral.
GAUGAAGAACGUAGCGAAAUGCGAUACGUAAUGUGAAUUGCAGAAUUCAGUGAAUCAUCGAAUCUUUGAACGCAUAUUGCGCUCUCUGGUAUUCCGGAGAGCAUGCCUGUCCGAGCGUCAUUGCUGCCCUCAAGCACGGCUUGUGUGUUGGGCCUCCGUCCUCCUCCCGGGGGACGGGCCCGAAAGGCAGCGGCGGCACCGCGUCCGGUCCUCGAGCGUAUGGGGCUUCGUCACCCGCUCUUGUAGGCCCGGCCGGCGCUUGCCGACACAUCAAUCUUUUUUCCAGGUUGACCUCGGAUCAGGUAGGGAUACCCGCUGAACUUAAGCAUAUCAAUAAGCGGAGGA